ACCUUCACCAGGCCAAGGAGCUGGCAUCAGGCACAACCUCCCGCCCAUAACACCUAGUCUCACCACGCCCCCAAGGGCAAUCAGCAGUGAUAAACCUUGUAUAUAAGCGACAGCUUGACUCAGUUAAAGAAAAUAGGGCUGGCUAACCCGGUGCCAGCCGCCGCGGCUAAACCGCUGGAGCCCAAGCUGAUAAUCAUCGGCGUUAAGCGUGAUUAGAGUUUUAAUCAAUUAGGGUUAAAUUAAUGCUUAGUAGUGAUAAGCUUGUCAUUAAGAAAUCCAUAAACGAAAGUUACCCUAAUAAUCUUGAAUACACGACAGCUAAGAACCAAACUGGGAUUAGAUACCCCACUAUGCCUAGCCGUAAACAAUUAACUUACACUAAUAAACGCCAGGGAACUACGAGCCAUGCUUAAAACCCAAAGGACUUGACGGUGUCCCAUUCCCCCUAGAGGAGCCUGUUCUAUAAUCGAUGACCCCCGCUAUACCUAACCAUCCCUUGCUUUAUCAGCCUGUAUACCUCCGUCAUAAGCUUACCAUGUGAACGUUUAGUAAGCCCAAUGAACCGACAUGUCAGGUCAAGGUGCAGCUCACGGAAUGGAAAGUAAUGGGCUACAAUUUCUAACAUAGAACAAACGGAAGGUCAUGUGAAACCAUGGCCAUGAAGGCGGAUUUAGUAGUAAAAAGAAAAUAGAGUGUUCUUUUUAAUUCGGUUCUGG
RNAcentral lists this ribosomal RNA (716 nucleotides) under Amolops daiyunensis (Daiyun torrent frog). RNAcentral's name for it is "partial 12S ribosomal RNA". It matches the Rfam family "Bacterial small subunit ribosomal RNA", at positions 380 to 1377 of the family's 1533-position model. Lineage: Eukaryota; Metazoa; Chordata; Amphibia; Anura; Ranidae. The record is from RNAcentral.